Gallus gallus (chicken) is the source of this 2323-nucleotide long non-coding RNA. RefSeq lists it as uncharacterized. The transcript has 2 exons. The record is from RefSeq and is a predicted model, not a curated record. Lineage: Eukaryota; Metazoa; Chordata; Aves; Galliformes; Phasianidae.
CAGGCACAGUGAGUGCAGUCACUAAGAGGUCUCUACUCAAGCAAUGACUGUGAAUUUAGUUCAUGAGUUUCUAUGUGACCAUAACAGGAAUACACAUUACAGUGCCUCACAGCUGGCUCCUUCCCAAGUUAGUUUUGCUUUGUGAUUUGGCCUUGGAGCAAAGAUCAUGUCUGAGAUUUAAAAUGGUUCCAAGGAUCACACUGCAGGAAAAGGAAGGAAGAAUCAAUCCUGCACUCAACUGCAACUGUUCUUCACACUCCUUUGGCUUGUGUUAGCCAGACAGUAGAAGAUCAAAUAUGAAAUACAACCACUGCUGGAGAGCGAGGGCUGCUGUCAAAACCUGACUAAUAGACAGUGAGAACAACAGGAACACUCAUGCUCACGUUAAUUUGCUCUUGGUCUCUGUCUCCUUUGGAAAAGGAUAUUUCCACUUGGUAAUGUGUCCGACCUCCCCAGACAUGAAUGUCAAGUAUCGCAGAGUUUCUAUCCCCACAUUUGUGUGCAUAACUUUCCGCAAUCCUUCACGUUGCCAGAUGUAAAAAGCUACCACGGGAGAAGCGUAAUUCUGAAUCCACAGCACGUCCCCAGACUCACUGUCUACAGUCACCACCAGUCCAUCUCCAUUAGACACAAAGUGGGACAUUUCUACAAUAUACAAAUGUAUAGGAGAUUACCUGGAUUGCUGCUUACAUGCAAUUUUAGUAAUACACAUUAACAAGCCUCACAUAACUGUGGAGUUCACUGCAUCUUACGUUGGAAAUGAAAAGAUGUCAAACUGAUACAAGCAUGGUUCAGUCAGACAGCAGGAAAACCACAUCUAGCUCACCUCUUCAGCAUAUAUGACAGCAAGGAUCGUAGACCUCACGACUCUAAACCUGGACAUUAACUAACACAUAGAUCAUGUCUUCAGCAUAUGCUGAAAGGGGAGCUUUCAUGGGUGAGAAGCGACUGAGAAGCCUCUUGCUGAAUGACUGAAAGCUCUGCCAUCCUUUGUUCUGUGUCAGGAUUCAGAAGACAACCCUGCAGAGCUGCUCUGUGCCUGUGAGAGCAAACAGGCAGUCCUUGCAGCCUCCAUUUUGAUUAACCUCAAUGUAAACUCAACUGUGGAAGAUAAACUUUAAGUCUCCCACACUCUGGGCAAAAACAACAGACAGCUCCAGCAUUUGUACAUCAUAGUUCAGGUUUGCUUCCUCUCCUGCCAUUUUUCACUGCACUUUAGGAGUCAUACCUUCAAAGCCUGUACCUUCUAGAUUGCGUUAACCUGAAACUAACAGGUUUGAGCUAUUAAGCCAAAGGCUAAAAAUGAGUAGACACCAAUUGCAAAAUUUAGUAAACUUAUUAAAACAGAGAAUAUAUUUGUCUGUAUACAUAGCCCAUGGCCAAUAUCUGAAAAAGAAAAAAGACUGCAAUUAAAUUCUUACUAUAUUUUACGUCUUCAUCAGGAAGAGUGGCUGCAUAAUCAAAAUAGGUGGCAUUCCAUCUCAGCUCCUUCUUCUUGGUGUCAUACAUUGUGAUUGUGUACUCUGUUAAAAAAUACACAGUCUGUGAAGCAAAAAAGCCUAUGGAGUACAGAAGCAAUCACUGCAAAUGUGAGAUACUGCUCAGAACACCACACACUGCUUACUGUGCUCUGCAUUUCAUUUUCCCCAAGCUCCUGAUAAAGAAUCAUUUCAUAGUGGUUAAAGACAACACCCGAUCCACGCACACACUCACAUUCUGCAGCCUCAGAAGCAGCCCUGCAGACUGAUGCUGCCCACCCCACCAGCAUUUUGCUUCUACAGAACAGCUUCUGAUGUACUUUAUUUAACAUAAAUGUUUCUAAAUCCUAUUUUCUAAUAUGUAACUUACUGUGCAACGUAACUAAACUAUCACACCUGGGAACAUUUGCACCUCUAUAUUUAUGUGUUAUUAAAGAUCAAGUCCAUAUGACUUAUUUUUACUAGUCAACAUCUAUGCGUUGUAUCUCGGUCUAGUUUUAAGUUAUUUAGAAUGCUGCAUUUGUAAUUCCAGUUAAAAUGCUGUAUCUUCAUUUUAUUUAAACAUUUUUUAAUGAAAUCUAGAAGUUAUACAGAAAACUCGGGUUCACAGCUGCUAGUGGAGAGCACUGUUAAAUAAAACAUAAAUGCCAUGCUGUCAACGACAAGAAUAACACAUCAUUUCUACUCCCAAAGUUUACAAGAAUACAAUCUUUCCAAUUGCUAUGAAGAGCCAAUAUUUUUUUCUGUGUAUAGUCUAAAAUUAUUCUAAGACAAACUGGACAACAUGAACUGAUCACAAGGUCAUUUGUUACCAUUCUAAUCUUCAAAAAUUGCAACAAAAACAA